Molecule: transfer RNA, 74 nt
Filed under: Caudoviricetes sp.
Lineage: Duplodnaviria; Heunggongvirae; Uroviricota; Caudoviricetes
Description: tRNA-Asp
Rfam family: tRNA
About the family: Transfer RNA (tRNA) molecules are approximately 80 nucleotides in length. Their secondary structure includes four short double-helical elements and three loops (D, anti-codon, and T loops). Further hydrogen bonds mediate the characteristic L-shaped molecular structure. tRNAs have two regions of fundamental functional importance: the anti-codon, which is responsible for specific mRNA codon recognition, and the 3' end, to which the tRNAs corresponding amino acid is attached (by aminoacyl-tRNA synthetases). tRNAs cope with the degeneracy of the genetic code in two manners: having more than one tRNA (with a specific anti-codon) for a particular amino acid; and 'wobble' base-pairing, i.e. permitting non-standard base-pairing at the 3rd anti-codon position.
Source: RNAcentral
GGCUCAUUAGUUCAGUUGGUUAGAACGCUUGCCUGUCACGCAAGAGGUCACCAGUUCAAGUCUGGUAUGAGUCG